Molecule: ribosomal RNA, 514 nt
Filed under: Phomopsis asparagi
Lineage: Eukaryota; Fungi; Ascomycota; Sordariomycetes; Diaporthales; Diaporthaceae
Description: eukaryotic LSU rRNA
Rfam family: Eukaryotic large subunit ribosomal RNA
Source: RNAcentral
CGGCGAGUGAAGCGGCAACAGCUCAAAUUUGAAAUCUGGCCUCGGCCCGAGUUGUAAUUUGCAGAGGAUGCUUCUGGCGCGGUGCCUUCCGAGUUCCCUGGAACGGGACGCCACAGAGGGUGAGAGCCCCGUAUGGUCGGACACCAAGCCUGUGUGAAGCUCCUUCGACGAGUCGAGUAGUUUGGGAAUGCUGCUCUAAAUGGGAGGUAAAUCUCUUCUAAAGCUAAAUACCGGCCAGAGACCGAUAGCGCACAAGUAGAGUGAUCGAAAGAUGAAAAGCACCUUGAAAAGGGGGUUAAAUAGUACGUGAAAUUGUUGAAAGGGAAGCACUUGUGACCAGACUUGGGCCGGGCGGCUCAUCAGGGGUUCUCCCCUGUGCACUCCGCCCGGCACAGGCCAGCAUCGGUUCUCGUGGGGGGACAAGACCGUCAGGAACGUAGCACCCUCCGGGGUGUGUUAUAGCCUGGCGGACGAUACCCCCGUGGGGACCGAGGUUCGCGCUCCGCAAGGAUGC